GUCUACGGCCAUACCACCCUGAACGCGCCCGAUCUCGUCUGAUCUCGGAAGCUAAGCAGGGUCGGGCCUGGUUAGUACUUGGAUGGGAGACAAAGAUAUUACUUACAUCUUACAGAUGAGGAAAUUGAAGCUU
This 133-nucleotide ribosomal RNA is filed under the name Colobus angolensis palliatus. Lineage: Eukaryota; Metazoa; Chordata; Mammalia; Primates; Cercopithecidae. The record is from RNAcentral.